GACGAACGCUGGCGGCGUGCUUAACACAUGCAAGUCGAACGGAAAGGCCCCUUUGGGGGUACUCGAGUGGCGAACGGGUGAGUAACACGUGAGUAACCUGCCCUUGACUUCGGGAUAACUUCAGGAAACUGGGGCUAAUACCGGAUAGGAAUCCUUGCUGCAUGGUGGGGGUUGGAAAGCUUCGGCGGUUUUGGAUGGACUCGCGGCUUAUCAGCUUGUUGGUGGGGUAGUUGCUUACCAAGGCUUUGACGGGUAGCCGGCCUGAGAGGGCGACCGGCCACAUUGGGACUGAGAUACGGCCCAGACUCCUACGGGAGGCAGCAGUGGGGAAUAUUGCACAAUGGGCGGAAGCCUGAUGCAGCAACGCCGCGUGCGGGAGGACGGCCUUCGGGUUGUAAACCGCUUUCAGCAGGGGCGAAGCUUGUGGUGACGGUACCUGCAGAAGAAGCACCGGCUAACUACGUG
This 465-nucleotide ribosomal RNA is filed under the name uncultured bacterium. RNAcentral's name for it is "partial 16S ribosomal RNA". It matches the Rfam family "Bacterial small subunit ribosomal RNA", at positions 28 to 507 of the family's 1533-position model. The record is from RNAcentral.